GCCCUGUGGUGGCUGCAGUGCCAUGGAGAGGCUGCCAUCCUCUGAGGGCCUAGGCCCUGGGCUGACCUUUGGGAAGCUAGGCAAAAUGGUGGUGGAGCUGCUGCCCCCUGACCUGAGUCCACACCUCACCUUCUGCCAUCUCCAAAACAAGACACUGGUGUGUCCAUCUCUCAUUAGCUUAUUGUGAUCCCGCGUUAAGCAAGGGACAUGCAUUCCAAGACCCCCAGUGGAUGCCUGAAACCUCAUAUAAUAUUGAGCCCUACAGGGUCUCCUUAUGUUGACCAGGGAGAUCUCAAACUGCUGGCCUCAAGUUAUCCUGUUGCCUUUGCCUGUGAAAACUUUGGGAUUAAAGGUAUUAUCCACCAUG
Molecule: long non-coding RNA, 367 nt
Filed under: Homo sapiens (human)
Lineage: Eukaryota; Metazoa; Chordata; Mammalia; Primates; Hominidae
Description: HSALNT0385590
Source: RNAcentral